GUGCUCACUUCGGCAGCACAUAUGCUAAAAUUGGAACGAUACAGAGAAGAUUAGCAUGGCCCCUGUGCAAGGAUGACACGCAAAUUUGUGAAGCGUUCCAUAUUUGU
This 107-nucleotide small nuclear RNA is filed under the name Ornithorhynchus anatinus (platypus). Lineage: Eukaryota; Metazoa; Chordata; Mammalia; Monotremata; Ornithorhynchidae. The record is from RNAcentral.